AUUGAACGCUGGCGGAAUGCUUUACACAUGCAAGUCGAACGGCAGCACGGACUUCGGUCUGGUGGCGAGUGGCGAACGGGUGAGUAAUGUAUCGGAACGUGCCCAGUCGUGGGGGAUAACGUAGUGAAAAUUACGCUAAUACCGCAUACGAUCUAUGGAUGAAAGCGGGGGAUCGCAAGACCUCGCGCGAUUGGAGCGGCCGAUAUCAGAUUAGGUAGUUGGUGGGGUAAAGGCCCACCAAGCCAACGAUCUGUAGCUGGUCUGAGAGGACGACCGGCCACACUGGAACUGAGACACGGUCCAGACUCCUACGGGAGGCAGCAGUGGGGAAUGUUGGACAAUGGGCGAAAGCCUGAUCCAGCCAUUCCGCGUGCAGGAUGAAGGGCCUCGGGUUGUAAACUGCUUUUGUACAGAACGAAAAGGUUUCUACUAAUACUAGGAGCUCAUGACGGUACUGUAAGAAUAAGCACCGGCUAACUACGUGCCAGCAGCCGCGGUAA
This 500-nucleotide ribosomal RNA is filed under the name uncultured bacterium. RNAcentral's name for it is "partial 16S ribosomal RNA". It matches the Rfam family "Bacterial small subunit ribosomal RNA", at positions 30 to 523 of the family's 1533-position model. The record is from RNAcentral.